GAUCAGGUUUUUCUGUCGCAGAUGCUAUGCUGUAAACAUAGAGAGGGUCAUUAGACCACUUGUCA
This 65-nucleotide transfer RNA is filed under the name Saemundssonia lari. Its description in RNAcentral is "tRNA-Tyr". The record is from RNAcentral. Lineage: Eukaryota; Metazoa; Arthropoda; Insecta; Psocodea; Philopteridae.